AAUGCCACAACUGACCACCUUGCUUUAAACUGAUGAAAUUUUCUUUGAUUUGAAACAGGGGCAAAAACAACAGUUGUGUCAGGAAACACCCGGUGAAGGAAAUAGCAAUCAGGCGUCCACCUGGAGAAAAAGGAAAAAGAAAGGAAAUAGCAAUCAGGCAGUCCACCUGGAGAACAAGGAUGAAGAAAAGAAAUAGCAAUCAGGCGUCCACCUGGAGAACAAGGAUGAAGAAAGGAAAUAGCAAUCAGGUGUCCAUCUGGAGAACAAGGAUGAGGAAAGGAAAUAGCAAUCAGGCGUCCACCUGGAGAACAAGGAUGAAGAAAGAAUUAGCA
Molecule: long non-coding RNA, 332 nt
Filed under: Nicotiana tabacum (common tobacco)
Lineage: Eukaryota; Viridiplantae; Streptophyta; Magnoliopsida; Solanales; Solanaceae
Description: long non-coding RNA (NTAB_LNC003828)
Source: RNAcentral